RNAcentral lists this long non-coding RNA (269 nucleotides) under Physcomitrium patens. RNAcentral's name for it is "long non-coding RNA (PPAT_LNC009619)". The record is from RNAcentral. Lineage: Eukaryota; Viridiplantae; Streptophyta; Bryopsida; Funariales; Funariaceae.
CAUCUUUGCUUUCUCAGUCACCAUAUUUGUUACCUUCUCCUUUUCCGCCAUCUACUUCUCCUUGACCCUAACCUCCACCAUCGCAACAUCAAUUAGUGGUAAGUUUUGUAAAAUACACAAAGACCUAUGCCUAUAUGCUCCUCAAAAAUCUUGCUACUUCUCCUUAGUCCAACAAUCAUCCAAUCGGAUCGGCUCCAUAUUAGUCACAAUAAUAUACUCCAAUGGUGGCAACUCAUCCUUGUGCCUUACAUUGCGCUAUUUCUCCCCCU